UCGAGGAUCUUCGGCAAUGGGCGCAAGCCUGACCGAGCGACGCCGCGUGUGCGAUGAAGGCCUUCGGGUUGUAAAGCACUGUCGAGGGGGAGGAAAGCCCGCAAGGGCCUGACCUAUCCCUGGAGGAAGCACGGGCUAAGUUCGUGCCAGCAGCCGCGGUAAGACGAACCGUGCGAACGUUGUUCGGAUUCACUGGGCUUAAAGGGCGCGUAGGCGGGCGGCAACGUCGGGGGUGAAAUCUCACGGCCCAACCGUGAAACGGCCUCCGAUACGGGCCGCCUCGAGGGAGGUAGGGGCACGCGGAACUUCCGGUGGAGCGGUGAAAUGCGUAGAUAUCGGAAGGAACGCCGGUGGCGAAAGCGGCGUGCUGGGCCUUCUCUGACGCUGAGGCGCGAAAGCCAGGGGAGCGAACGGGAUUAGAUACCCCCGUAGUCC
Molecule: ribosomal RNA, 435 nt
Filed under: uncultured bacterium
Lineage: Bacteria
Description: bacterial SSU rRNA
Rfam family: Bacterial small subunit ribosomal RNA
Source: RNAcentral